GGAACACACUAAAGUCAUUACUUUUAAUGUUUCCAUCCAAAUAUCUGUUUAGUCAUAAUAAAGAGAUAUCUAAUUAUCUCUUCAUUCAUAAUGAAGAAACAUCCAAUGAUGGAUUAGAUUCAUAAUCUAAUACAUUUACGCUUCCAUUACGUUACCCUAAUUCUUCCUCAUUCUUGAGGAAUCCAUCCUUUAUUAUUUCUCAAAUACUUAAGGAUUCACUUGACAAUUGCCAUGGUUCUGAUUCUGCGCUUGCAUUGAUAUCGUCUUGUACCGAUCUUGGUCCAACUCAUAUCAACGUUUUUCAUACAAUAUGAAAUACGUAAAUCACCUUUCUGCGUAUGCAUAAAGGAUUCUAUUUACGCAUUAUUUCUUUGGGAGUCAAAGGGUACGU
This 391-nucleotide long non-coding RNA is filed under the name Malus domestica (apple). Its description in RNAcentral is "long non-coding RNA (MDOM_LNC020520)". The record is from RNAcentral. Lineage: Eukaryota; Viridiplantae; Streptophyta; Magnoliopsida; Rosales; Rosaceae.